Long non-coding RNA from Prionailurus viverrinus (fishing cat), 215 nucleotides. RefSeq lists it as uncharacterized. The record is from RefSeq and is a predicted model, not a curated record. NCBI's taxonomy places the organism in Eukaryota, Metazoa, Chordata, Mammalia, Carnivora, Felidae. The transcript is spliced from 3 exons.
GCCCGGAUGGCAGCGGCAGCCACCUUGCGACCGUAAAGGGAAAGAAAGCCAAGUGGAUUGUAGAGCCCUUGAGCUGAUCAGAGACGGGAUGGGACUCAGCGAAGUCCUGGAGCCAGAAAACAAAGGUAGAGAAGCAGGUGAACACCAGAUGCUGAAAUUGGUCACACAGCCUCGAGUCUCAAGGCCCGGACAGAUGUGUUCUAUACACUUGUUUA